AGUGAACGCUGGCGGUAGGCCUAACACAUGCAAGUCGAACGGCAGCACAGUAAGAGCUUGCUCUUACAGGUGGCGAGUGGCGGACGGGUGAGGAAUACAUCGGAAUCUACUUUUUCGUGGGGGAUAACGUAGGGAAACUUACGCUAAUACCGCAUACGACCUACGGGUGGAAGCAGGGGAUCUUCGGACCUUGCGCGAUUGAAUGAGCCGAUGUCGGAUUAGCUAGUUGGCGGGGUAAAGGCCCACCAAGGCGACGAUCCGUAGCUGGUCUGAGAGGAUGAUCAGCCACACUGGAACUGAGACACGGUCCAGACUCCUACGGGAGGCAGCAGUGGGGAAUAUUGGACAAUGGGCGCAAGCCUGAUCCAGCCAUACCGCGUGGGUGAAGAAGGCCUUCGGGUUGUAAAGCCCUUUUGUUGGGAAAGAAAAGCAGCAGGUUAAUACCCCGCUGUUCUGACGGUACCCAAAGAAUAAGCACCGGCUAACUUCGUG
Molecule: ribosomal RNA, 492 nt
Filed under: uncultured bacterium
Lineage: Bacteria
Description: partial 16S ribosomal RNA
Rfam family: Bacterial small subunit ribosomal RNA
Source: RNAcentral